UGGAGAGGGAGAUCUGGGGCCUUCAGUAAAUCCUGCAGCCGGUACUCAGGAUGUUCCUGACUCAAUAAACCUCCCAAUUGCUGGGUGUUUCAUUCAUCAUCUCAUUGAACGCAAUUGGUCAGCCUGAGGGCAGGGAGAUCUGGUUUCUUCAAUAAAUCCUGCAGUGAGGCACAGCGGCGAUCCUGUGAGGGACCAGUAUGCAAUGGGAUGUUAGACAUCUCAGCUGAGGCUUGAGGCCUACCAUUACCUGGAAGUCACAAAGGGAGAGAACCUGUGAGAGAGAGCAGCACA
Non-coding RNA from Chiloscyllium plagiosum (whitespotted bambooshark), 291 nucleotides. NCBI's taxonomy places the organism in Eukaryota, Metazoa, Chordata, Chondrichthyes, Orectolobiformes, Hemiscylliidae. The record is from RefSeq and is a predicted model, not a curated record.